CAGCAGCCGCGGGAAUACGGAGGGUGCAAGCGUUAAUCGGAAUUACUGGGCGUAAAGCGCACGCAGGCGGUCUGACAAGUCAGAUGUGAAAUCCCCGGGCUUAACCUGGGAACUGCAUUUGAAACUGUCAAGCUGGAGUCUUGUAGAGGGGGGUGGAAUUCCAGGUGUAGCGGUGAAAUGCGUAGAGAUCUGGAGGAAUACCGGUGGCGAAGGCGGCCCCCUGGACAAAGACUGACGCUCAGGUGCGAAAGCGUGGGGAGCAAACAGGAUUAGAUACCCCUGUAGUCCCUGUCUCUUAUAC
RNAcentral lists this ribosomal RNA (301 nucleotides) under uncultured bacterium. Its description in RNAcentral is "partial 16S ribosomal RNA". It matches the Rfam family "Bacterial small subunit ribosomal RNA", at positions 509 to 807 of the family's 1533-position model. The record is from RNAcentral.